AUUGAACGCUAGCGGGAUGCCUUACACAUGCAAGUCGAACGGAGUGGCGAACGGUUGAGUAAUGUAUCGGAAAGUGCCCAGUAGCGGGGGAUAAAUACGCGAAAGCGUAGCUAAUACCGCAUUCUAUUGGAUAGGUGGAUAUCGGAUUAGCUAGUUGGGGGGGUAAAGGCUCCCCAAGGCGACGAUCCGUAGCUGGUUUGAGCGGACGACCAGCCAAACUGGGACUGAGACACGGGCCAGACUCCUACGGGAGGCAUCAGUGGGGAAUUUUGGAAAAUGGGGGAGACCCUGAUCCAGCCAUCCCGCGUGUGCGAUGAAGGCCUUCGGGUUGUAAAGCACUUUUGGCAGGAAAGCGGUACCUGCAGAAUAAGCACCGGCUAACUACGUGCCAGCAGCCGCGGUAAUAC
Molecule: ribosomal RNA, 407 nt
Filed under: uncultured bacterium
Lineage: Bacteria
Description: partial 16S ribosomal RNA
Rfam family: Bacterial small subunit ribosomal RNA
Source: RNAcentral